Molecule: ribosomal RNA, 32 nt
Filed under: Cytospora populina
Lineage: Eukaryota; Fungi; Ascomycota; Sordariomycetes; Diaporthales; Cytosporaceae
Description: partial 18S ribosomal RNA
Source: RNAcentral
UUCCGUAGGGUGAACCUGCGGAGGGAUCAUUG